GACGAACCGUGCGAACGUUGUUCGGAAUCACUGGGCUUAAAGGGCGCGUAGGCGGGCUGCCAAGUCCGUAGGUGAAAUCCCCCGGCUCAACCGGGGAACGGCCUCGGAUACUGGCGGCCUGGAGGGGGGUAGGGGCAAGCGGAACUGUGGGUGGAGCGGUGAAAUGCGUUGAGAUCCACAGGAACUCCGGUGGCGAAGGCGGCUUGCUGGACCCUUUCUGACGCUGAGGCGCGAAAGCCAGGGGAGCGAACGGG
Molecule: ribosomal RNA, 254 nt
Filed under: uncultured bacterium
Lineage: Bacteria
Description: partial 16S ribosomal RNA
Rfam family: Bacterial small subunit ribosomal RNA
Source: RNAcentral